Molecule: ribosomal RNA, 418 nt
Filed under: unidentified nematode Sourhope farm
Lineage: Eukaryota; Metazoa; Nematoda
Description: SSU rRNA
Rfam family: Eukaryotic small subunit ribosomal RNA
Source: RNAcentral
UCUAAGCACAUGCCUUAAUACGGUGAAGCCGCGAAUAGCUCAUUACAACAGCCACCGUUUACUAGAAUAUAGUUAUCCUACUUGGAUAACUGUGGCAAUUCUAGAGCUAAUACAUGCAAAAAAGCUCCGCCCGCAAGGAACGAGCGCAUUUAUUAGAAUAAAAACCAAUCGGGUUUCGGCCCGUAAUUUGGUGAAUCUGAAUAACUUUGCCAAUCGCACAGUCCUAGUACUGGCGAUGUAUCUUUCAAGUGUCUGCCUUAUCAACUUUCGAUGGUAGGUUAUACGCCUACCAUGGUAGUAACGGGUAACGGAGAAUAAGGGUUCGACUCCGGAGAGGGAGCCUGAGAAACGGCUACCACAUCCAAGGAAGGCAGCAGGCGCGCAAAUUACCCACUUCCAGAACGGAGAGGUAGUGACG